Small nucleolar RNA from Echinops telfairi (small Madagascar hedgehog), 131 nucleotides. RefSeq annotates it as small nucleolar RNA SNORA14. NCBI's taxonomy places the organism in Eukaryota, Metazoa, Chordata, Mammalia, Afrosoricida, Tenrecidae. The transcript has a single exon. The record is from RefSeq and is a predicted model, not a curated record.
AUUCAUUCCUAAACUCUUGGUGGCUGUGCUCUAAAAGCUGCCAAGAUAUGGGUGAAUGCUACAAAGAUUGGAGGCAAUCCAGAAGGUUGUGCAACCUGGGGGCCCAGCCUUAUCUCACACCCGCAACAUCU